Molecule: non-coding RNA, 94 nt
Organism: Terfezia boudieri ATCC MYA-4762
Lineage: Eukaryota; Fungi; Ascomycota; Pezizomycetes; Pezizales; Pezizaceae
Source: the annotation of a GenBank genome assembly
GCCCGCUUGGCUUAGUGGUAAAGCGUCGCACUUGUACUACCUCAUUUGAGCGACUGUAAUGCGAAGAUCAAGAGUUCAAUUCUCUUAGUGGGCA